This is a long non-coding RNA of Coffea arabica (coffee), 185 nucleotides long. RefSeq lists it as uncharacterized. Lineage: Eukaryota; Viridiplantae; Streptophyta; Magnoliopsida; Gentianales; Rubiaceae. The record is from RefSeq and is a predicted model, not a curated record.
AGCAAGAGAGCCAGCUGAUCCUCUGUGGUUCUAGGAGCAACUUGAGGAACUAGACAAUACAUUUAGCUAGUAAACAACCCACUUGAAGGAGUUGGUGAAGAGCACAAUCUCGAUCAAAGAUUGGAAUUCUAGACACUUCACUUGAGGUUCUGAAACGCAUGAAGUCUUGGAGAACUAGAACAGAA